RNAcentral lists this ribosomal RNA (424 nucleotides) under uncultured Lachnospiraceae bacterium. RNAcentral describes it as "bacterial SSU rRNA". It matches the Rfam family "Bacterial small subunit ribosomal RNA", at positions 356 to 794 of the family's 1533-position model. The record is from RNAcentral. Lineage: Bacteria; Bacillati; Bacillota; Clostridia; Lachnospirales; Lachnospiraceae.
GGGGAAUAUUUGCACAAUGGGAGGAAACUCUGAUGCAGCGACGCCGCGUGAGUGAUGAAGUAUUUCGGUAUGUAAAGCUCUAUCAGUAGGGAAGAUAAUGACGGUACCUAACUAAGAAGCACCGGCUAAAUACGUGCCAGCAGCCGCGGUAAUACGUAUGGUGCAAGCGUUAUCCGGAUUUACUGGGUGUAAAGGGAGCGUAGGUGGUUUGGCAAGCCAGAAGUGAAAACCCGGGGCUCAACCCCGUGGAUUGCUUUUGGAACUGUUGGACUAGAGUGCAGGAGGGGUAAGUGGAAUUCCCAGUGUAGCGGUGAAAUGCGUAGAUAUUGGGAAGAAUACCGGUGGCGAAGGCGGCUUACUGGACUGUAACUGACACUGAGGCUCGAAAGCGUGGGGAGCAAACAGGAUUAGAUACCCUGGUAGU